This 465-nucleotide ribosomal RNA is filed under the name uncultured bacterium. RNAcentral's name for it is "partial 16S ribosomal RNA". It matches the Rfam family "Bacterial small subunit ribosomal RNA", at positions 28 to 507 of the family's 1533-position model. The record is from RNAcentral.
GACGAACGCUGGCGGCGUGCUUAACACAUGCAAGUCGAACGGAAAGGCCCUGCUUGCAGGGUACUCGAGUGGCGAACGGGUGAGUAACACGUGGGUGAUCUGCCCUGCACUUCGGGAUAAGCCUGGGAAACUGGGUCUAAUACCGGAUAGGAGCCAUUUUUAGUGUGAUGGUUGGAAAGUUUUUUCGGUGUAGGAUGAGCUCGCGGCCUAUCAGCUUGUUGGUGGGGUAAUGGCCUACCAAGGCGGCGACGGGUAGCCGGCCUGAGAGGGUGGACGGCCACAUUGGGACUGAGAUACGGCCCAGACUCCUACGGGAGGCAGCAGUGGGGAAUAUUGCACAAUGGGCGCGAGCCUGAUGCAGCGACGCCGCGUGGGGGAUGACGGCCUUCGGGUUGUAAACUCCCUUCGCUAGGGACGAAGCUUUUUGUGACGGUACCUAGAUAAGAAGCACCGGCUAACUACGUG